GAGAGUCCUUUUCAUGAUUCUAGGAGAAAAGAUGGGUCUUAUAAUAUCUUUGUGACGAUGACAAUUUACAACAGCACACGGAAGAUAGUGUAAGAUUCCAAAGUUGGAAUGCUGACAUUAAAAGGUACCUUUUGCUUUCAAAAGACCCAGUGGAAGAUCUUUGGCUUCUGACCUCUCAACCACCAAUAAAAGUUAACAUGCUCUCACUGAAGUUCACUUUCAAUAUGAUACCGUCCACAAAGGAUCACUAGAAGAUGCGAUUUGGGCCAUUUUUGAAACAGCGAGCAUCCACUUGUGCUGAUUCAUCCACAGAUUUUCCGGCCAGAUGCCCCAUUGGCAAAGCCCCGGAGCCUUCCUUUCAUUAGUUCUCCGCUCCAGCCAUCCGAGGAAUAUUGUGUUUUAGCCCCAAGGGUUUUCAAAUUAGUCCAUGAUUGGGGUAGAGCUGAAGAGAGGCCUGGUGAAGGGAGCCACCAGGCACUCCAUUGUUCUCUUGAUGACUUCACCUCAAGGCAAGAAAGAGAAAUUGGUCAGAGUUUGGAGAAGAGAAAGGAAAUUUCGCUUUUAUUGAGGACCUACUGUAUGCACCGGCAAUUCACUUAAGGUGGUUUAUUAAAUCCUUCAAAACAA
Non-coding RNA from Ictidomys tridecemlineatus (thirteen-lined ground squirrel), 627 nucleotides. The record is from RefSeq and is a predicted model, not a curated record. Lineage: Eukaryota; Metazoa; Chordata; Mammalia; Rodentia; Sciuridae.